This 439-nucleotide ribosomal RNA is filed under the name uncultured Eubacteriales bacterium. RNAcentral describes it as "bacterial SSU rRNA". It matches the Rfam family "Bacterial small subunit ribosomal RNA", at positions 338 to 795 of the family's 1533-position model. Lineage: Bacteria; Bacillati; Bacillota; Clostridia; Eubacteriales. The record is from RNAcentral.
CCUACGGGGGGCUGCAGUGGGGAAUAUUGCACAAUGGAGGGAACUCUGAUGCAGCGACGCCGCGUGAGCGAUGAAGGCUUUCGAGUCGUAAAGCUCUGUCGAAUGGGAAGAUAAUGACGGUACCAUUUGAGAAAGCCCCGGCUAACUACGUGCCAGCAGCCGCGGUAAUACGUAGGGGGCGAGCGUUGUCCGGAAUUAUUGGGCGUAAAGGGUUCGUAGGCGGCAAUGUAUGUCAGGUGUGAAAGACGGUGGCUCAACCAACGCAAGCAUCUGAAACUGCAUAGCUUGAGAAAAGGAGAGGUAAGUGGAAUUCCUAGUGUAGCGGUGAAAUGCGUAGAUAUUAGGAGGAAUACCAGUGGCGAAGGCGACUUACUGGACUUUAACUGACGCUGAUGAACGAAAGCGUGGGGAGCAAACAGGAUUAGAUACCCCUGUAGUC